UGAUUCCGUCUGAAUAACGGUAUAUCUAGUUGAUGUCAGGAUUGGGUUUUGUGAAAAGUCCAAAAUUCUGGAACUUAGGAUAUUUUAAAGAUGUAGCUUAGUUGUAUUUUCAGCUGUGAGAUUGUUUGUCAUAUCAUUAUGCAACUACCAAUCUAAGCUUAAAAGGCAAAAACUUGCACGUUUUGUUUGCAGAAAAUUAACCGCUAGUAAUUGUGACUAUAGUGAAACUGAAAGAAAAACUAAAGUAUACAAUAACAAAGGUUUACUCUAGGCACGAAGAUAAAUUCAAUACUUGGUGUCAUGAGUCCUAGCUAAUUCAGUACCGGUAGUAGAGUAAACCUCUACCAAGAGAAAUAUACCCCUUGCCAUUGGCUGAGUGGUAUGUCUGAUUUAUGACAAAUAAGUACCAGUUUUCAUUAUCUGUGACUCGCACAAGUAGCCCAUUCUGUAGCUUUGUGCUUAACGUCAAACUCAACGAAACAGACCUCGUAGAUAGCAAUUUUAAAUGACAUUUUUUUUUUUUUACCUAAUGGCUUCUGUCUCCAAGAUUGCUAGAGUAUUGGAUGAAGCUAUGAUGGAAGAGAUUCAUAUUAAUAGUAUGGAUAUGCUUUAUGAUGUUUCCUAGUAUGUGAUUUACAAGUUCAAGAAUCCAAAGAUUCUGAUUCAUCAUUUAGUUAUGAAGAAAUUGAUAAACGAAGUAAAUGCAUUGAUUAUAAACCAUUGUUAAAUCGUACAUUACCCUUCCCUUCUUGCCAUUUUAGCUGAUAAGCCUUUGAUUCCUCAACUUGUUUAGGAAAUGCAGAGUCCUGCCAGCCUAGUAAUGGAAGAUGAAUACAAGUUAAGAUAGAACUCGAAAGGCCAUUCUUUUCAAUCGGCUUGAAACCACAAAACAUCACCCAAUAGUUUAAACAUUCAAAGAGGCUAGCUAGUCUACUUCCAACAGUGAGCCAACUUGGUGUGAUGCUUUUUCACACCCAGUUUAGUCAGACUUCAAGAAUACCACAACAUGUGAUAAGAUCUGAAUAUUUCAAAACGUUCCAGCUGUGUACUGGUGCAGCUGACAUCAGUCUGCCACAAUGGUUUUGAUAAUGUAUCCUGCUUGGUUAAAAGUUCAGAAUGUUGACAUGUGGCAAAAGAACCAACAGAAAAAUAUGAUUGUAGCACAGAAGGCAGAAAAAUGAGCAAUUACCCAGUAAAAAUAAGCUAAGAUGACCUAAUAGCUGAUGGUGAAAGAUGAUUUUUGGGUUAGUGUUUAUUAAGCAACAGAUAAUUUACGAAACCUUUAUCAAGUUUUCCUGCCUCAAGACAUCAAACUUUUUUGCUUAAUGAAUCUGUUGACAUGCUGAAGUUACUACUGGAAAAAAUGAGCCCUUUAAAAAGAUGAAAAAGAAUAAUAUGGUUUUGACUCUUUUUCCACAAGCACUAGUCUUUCCUUCAUUAAUAAGUAAAAUGCAUGGUGUACUUAAAAUUUACAGAAGAAUUGGAACAACUACAACUAAAGAGUUAAAAGUAUUGCCUACAUUAUAUUUGGCUUAUCUUUAGUUUUAUUAAUGUUUAGAUCUCAAAUUAAUGCAAUGAAUGCACUUCAUUUUUAAUUUGUAAUUACUAUCAUGAAUGCAUUUAUUAAAUUUGUCUUUUUUUUUGUAAUUUAAAAUUAAUAGCACAUUUCAGUUUUAACUUUCUGUGAAUAUUUGCAGAGCCCUGCAAUAAGUCUAAAGGCCUGUAACACUAAAUCCAGGUUUCAAUACUCGUGGUGGGAACAGGUAGCACACUGUGUAGUCUUGCAUUUGUAGGUGGAAGGUAAUGUCUGAAAAAAAAUGUCUUGUGUGCACUUUUUUUUUUUAUUUUUUUCUUCAGUAUGUAUCUAUUUCAGAUUAACUCUUGACAUUUUUGGUUAUAUAUUUGUGCCAGUUAGCUUUAUUACCAUUUAGAAGGUAAUUAAGUAAAUUUUGUGGAGUGUAAGGAACAUUCCUUAAACAAAAUCCUUGUACAAGAUCCCAGGGGUGCUCAAGGACUCUGUAGUCCUCCUUUGCUCCAGAUGUGGAGGUUAAAAAAAACAUGGAAUAAAAAGUAUGUACAUGUGAAUAGUGUCAGCAAAAGUGAAGAGGGAAACUCAUUGUGUUUUGAUAAAAUUUUCCUGUAUAUGGACUCUUAUUUUCAGGGGAGUGGAUAUUUGUAGAUCCAAUGCCCAGUUUAAUUUUGUUGUGGAGGAGAAACUGGAGAUCCCAGAUAAGAACCCACUUUCAUUAGUUAGGAGACCCGAUUCAUUCCAAACUAGUGCCCAGGAUGUUCACAUGAUUGGUUGAACUUUUUGACCUGUAAGAGAAAGCUGAAAAGAAACUACAUGAGGCACAGAGGUUAGUAGUGAUAAUUAUGUACAAGCGGAGACCCACAACAUCUCUGGCCAAGUUAGUUCUCUUUAUGAAAACAGUACGUCUUUAAAUAUAACAAUUCUAGCACAAAAAAAACUAAUUGUAAUCAUAGACAAUGAAAUGUGUAAAUUCACUUGCAUAUAGGCCAUACUUUAUAAAACUUUAACUUGUUAGGCAUAAGUUCGAUGAAGAGAAAUUAACACUGUAACCUGUGUAAGUUUUUAUUUUACACUUUAGUUUAGUUAGGACUAAACUUUACUGUACUUAAUACUAUUGAUAAAUGAACUUGUUAUUCUAUGACCUAACAUCAAACCUUUUUUUAAAAACUUAAGUUUUUAAUAUUCUAUUGUACAAAAUGGUUAGUGAAGUAUAUUUACAUUCCUCUUUUGUUACUUCUUGUUUCAUACAGCAAUUGUAGUGACUUGAUCACUGAGCUGUGCAGACUGUUUGCUGUCGAGUGAAUAAUGUGCAGUUUUUCUUAGGGAAACAUUCUAACUAUGCAUGCUUAUGCAGUAAGUUCUCGGUCAAAGUGUAACGGUUUUACAUACCAACAAGCAGAAAAAUAGUAUAGAUGGCGGUUUUAUCUACAAACUGUUUGUUUCGAAUUUGGGCAAUCAUUUUGAGGGGGGGACAUAUCUUUGCCAGGAAGAAGGGGUGGCAAUUAAGGUAGUGAACUGGGAAGCUUGUUUCUUUUUGGUGCCAUUGCAGUAUAAUUUAAUGGUAAGUUUCUCUUAUCUCGAGUUAAUUGACUGUAGUAUAUCUAAUUUGUAUAUGUAGCAUGUAGGUGUGUAUUAGGGUGCAUCGAAAGACUAUGAUAAAACCAAACAUAAUUUUUAAUUUGAAAAAGUUGUUAAUCAAUAAAAGAAAGUGUUAAAUUUAUUGUCUUACUAAUGUAUCUUGGUUUGCCCCAAAUCUCUAAUACAGAAUAGGCUCACUUUAGUGACUGUAAGCUAUCCAACAGUAUAUUAUGCUGCUAUUUUCUAAAUAAAUGGUCUUAUUAUAAUCAAAACCAUUUAAAUUACCCAGAACUUGCCACAAGGAGGGAACUGUAUUUUGAGUCCCACGAGAUUCAUUGUAUGUAAGUUCUUGAUUCAUCCUUUCAGGGUCACAUUUAUGAACUGCUGGUUAAAGUGGCCUGAAGAAACUCCUUUACAUAUACUGAACAGAGUCUGUGCGUAAAGGGACAUUAUUUCCAGUGGCAGACAGGUGUAUAUAGGUUUGAAGUUGUUUCCAUCAAGAUGUUGCAUGAAAUCUUUAUAUUCAUGUUGAACUUAAUUUUUAGCUCCAGACAAGAGUUUUUAUACUGCAU
Limulus polyphemus (Atlantic horseshoe crab) is the source of this 3681-nucleotide long non-coding RNA. RefSeq lists it as uncharacterized. Lineage: Eukaryota; Metazoa; Arthropoda; Merostomata; Xiphosura; Limulidae. The transcript is spliced from 3 exons. The record is from RefSeq and is a predicted model, not a curated record.